This is a non-coding RNA of Punica granatum (pomegranate), 2153 nucleotides long. Lineage: Eukaryota; Viridiplantae; Streptophyta; Magnoliopsida; Myrtales; Lythraceae. The record is from RefSeq and is a predicted model, not a curated record.
CACAUGUCCGCGUCUCCUUUAUCGAUUGGGCGGUUAGUUUUCAAAUUUCAAAAAGUUAGUCAAGUCUUCUCUCUCGCAACCGCACCCUUUGCUUUCCCAAUCUUGGUUUCCAUCCUACUUCUUUCCUUUUUCCCAAAAACCCUGUUUAUUCUUCUGCUUCCAUUCAUCUUCUCAUCUGAUUAUCUCUCCUCUUGCUUCAAUUUGUCUGCAAUUCACAGCGAUUAUGAAACUUUCAUCUUUUCGGAUUUACAGAAUCACGCUGGAAAUGCCCCCCGAACUGUCUCAAGCUCCUAUUUAGACAUGCUUAAAAAUCGGUUGUCUUCCCUUCAAGCCCAAUACUCUGCUCAUGAAGACACGGAUAAAUCCAGCAAAGCAAGCACCCGCCGAGCAAGCGAAGCAAAACCCACCCCUGUAUCGAUUGAGGAGCUGUCCGUUAAGAAGGCUGCCGAGAAGAAGAGGGAUGCCCCCAAGCCUUCUCUUGAGCAGAAGGGCAAGAGUGACGUAAGAUGAAAAAGAGUUCGUAGGGUCUAGAUUAAAACGACCACUGAUACUGUCACUGCUGGGAAGGAGAACAAGGGGGCCAAGCCUACUGCAGUCGAGAGGGAGAAGAAAACAAUUGAAUCUGGCCCUCCAGGAACAUCAAAGGGUAAAGCUGUCGAGCAAACUAGUAUAGGCCCAAAAACUGUGUCUAAGACCAUAACCUCCGAGCCUCUCAUCAGAACUCAAGCUAAAGAAUGGUCGGGCCAUGCGCAGCCCGCUGAAAGUGCUCAUCCUUACACCUCCAGCAGCUGCGACAAAGAAAUAACCGCGCUAGAGUGGGUGACAAAAGAAGACCUAGUGGAAUUUCCAAAGGAUUGGAUUAAUUCGAAGAAUACUCAUUGGGCGAGAAACUAUCCUCAAGUCAUUGGCCAAGCCAGCUCGCUACUCUAUACACCGGGAACCAAAAAUUUCUUCGAAUCGAAGGAUGAAACUCGUUUCUUUUCAGUUGCCAAAGCCAUUACACUACAGGCAAAUACCGUGAUUUCUCAUGCGGAAAUGCUCUGUCAGAAAUAUAAGGCUAAGCUUUGUCGGGCAAAUGAGGCGCUGAAAAAGGUGGAAUCCGAGCUAUUGGCAACAAAGGAAACCCUUGCACAGAAGGAACUUGAAGUAAAUAGUCUGGAUAGGAACUGGUCGAUCUUUGAAAAAUUGAAGAGAAAAUUGAAGCUUGGAGAAAAAGGUUGACCAGUAUCCAAAGUUCCAGACCUUUCACUUGGUGACUUGUUUGCUCAGCUCAAAAAGGCCAUGAACGGGUUUGUGAAAGAUAUCCCAGAACUGAACUGAUCUUUGAUCUUCCAAGUUAACUGCUCUGGAAGAGAAUGAGAGGUCAUUUGCUGCCCGGCUUAAGCGGGAGAGAGAGGAAGCUGUGGAAGAAUAUAAGCAAUCGGCCAAUUUGGAAGAGCUGAUAAAUCUCAGAAUCAAGGAGUAUCAAAAGACGCCCGCCUUUGAUAAGCUUGUGGACGAUCGCAUCGAGGAAUACCUAGACGGUGAGGAACACCAAUAGGAUUUGGAAUGAUUAGAAAAUGAGCAGUAUCAAAGGCUGGGCAUCGACUUAGUGGUUGAGUUGAUUCAAGCUGGCGAUAGUGUGGAAAAAUUAGUGCGGUAAAGGCCAUUUGUCGAUCAAUGGUCGCUCCUGUGCCUCAACUCGGGCAAUCCGCUUCUCAGGAAGAAAUGAACGAUGACUCAGAUGAGAACGGAGAAGAUGAGCCGGCAACAGGUGAGUCUCCAGUUACCGCUCAAGCUCAAGAAAAUAUUGCCCUUCCUGAGGAUACUGCUCCACUGGCACACACUGGGGAUGGAGGAGACGUGAUUGCACAGCCCGAGCAGUCAUCUAGGGAAGACGUGCAAAAUACUGAAAGUCCUCAGAGCCCGCCAAUCAAUAGUGAUUAUUUCGAUCCGAACCAGUUUAUCAAGAUAUGCCAUUGUCACUAUUUUUUUCCCCUUCUUUCCAAUUUUCAAGACUUAUAAACUUGUGUUCCCAUUUUAGAUGGCACUUUGGUCGAUUACGAGAUCGGAAGUUUGUAAAAAUUUAUCCGAUACUUUAUUGUGCUUGCUGAGAUUAACGUCCAUUGGGCAGACGGAGCAUCAAACUUUCUAAGAAUGUCAACUUUCCAUGA